RNAcentral lists this ribosomal RNA (253 nucleotides) under uncultured prokaryote. RNAcentral's name for it is "partial 16S ribosomal RNA". It matches the Rfam family "Bacterial small subunit ribosomal RNA", at positions 525 to 777 of the family's 1533-position model. The record is from RNAcentral.
ACAGAGGGCGCGAGCGUUGUCCGGAAUCACUGGGCGUAAAGGGCGCGUAGGCGGGUUCGCAAGUCGGUCGUGAAAGCCCCGGGCUCAACCCGGGAGAGUCGGCCGAGACUGCGGGUCUUGAGGGGCGCAGAGGAGACUGGAAUUCCCGGUGUAGCGGUGAAAUGUGUAGAGAUCGGGAGGAACACCGGUGGCGAAGGCGGGUCUCUGGGCGCACCCUGACGCUGAGGCGCGAAGGCGUGGGGAGCAAACGGGA